CUAGUAAUCGCGAAUCAGAAUGUCGCGGUGAAUACGUUCCCGGGCCUUGUACACACCGCCCGUCACACCAUGAGAGCCGAUAACACCCGAAGCCUGUGAGCUAACCGUAAGGGGCAGCAGUCGAAGGUGGGGUUGGUGAUUGGGGUGAAGUCGUAACAAGGUAGC
RNAcentral lists this ribosomal RNA (165 nucleotides) under uncultured bacterium. RNAcentral's name for it is "partial 16S ribosomal RNA". It matches the Rfam family "Bacterial small subunit ribosomal RNA", at positions 1335 to 1500 of the family's 1533-position model. The record is from RNAcentral.